This 444-nucleotide ribosomal RNA is filed under the name uncultured bacterium. RNAcentral describes it as "partial 16S ribosomal RNA". The record is from RNAcentral.
GACUACCGGGGUAUCUAAGCCCAUUCGCUACCCACGCUUUCGUGCUUGAGUGUCAGAUAUGUGCCAGUAAAGUGCCUUCGCUUUUGGUGUUCCCCAUGAUAUCAACGGAUUUCACCCCUACACCAUGAGUUCCCUUUACCUCUCACAUUCUCUAGUUCUACCGUUUCGUUCGCGGUUCUCAGGUUAAGCCCGAGGAUUUGACAAACGACUAAUAAAACCACCUACGCACCCUUUACGCCCAAUAAUUCCGGAUAACGCUCGGGGCUCUCGUAUUACCGCUCCUGCUGGCACGAGAUUAGGAGCCCCUUAUUCAUGAGGUACAGUCAAUAAACUUCUUCCCUCAUAAAAGAUAUUUACGCACCGAAGUGCUUCAUCAAUCACGCGGCGUCGCUCCGUCAGACUUUCGUCCAUUGCGGAAGAUUCUCGACUGCAGCCCCCCGUAGG